UACGUAGGGGGCAAGCGUUGUCCGGAUUUAUUGGGCGUAAAGAGCGUGUAGGCGGCCUUACAGGUCAGCUGUGAAAACUCGAGGCUCAACCUCGAGACGUCGGUUGAAGCCGUAUGGCUAGAGUCCGGAAGAGGAGAGUGGAAUUCCCGGUGUAGCGGUGAAAUGCGCAGAUAUCGGGAAGAACACCCGUGGCGAAGGCGGCUCUCUGGGACGGUACUGACGCUGAGGCACGAAAGCGUGGGGAGCAAACAGG
Molecule: ribosomal RNA, 253 nt
Filed under: uncultured bacterium
Lineage: Bacteria
Description: partial 16S ribosomal RNA
Rfam family: Bacterial small subunit ribosomal RNA
Source: RNAcentral